AAAGAAAUAUUGAGGAUAAUGAGUCGGGCUUUUGAUGACUUCAAUGAAGGGAAAUUUUCAAAACAGCAUUUGGGCAUGUUAUCAAGUCGUCCAAACUUCGAAAUUCAGUUGAUGGUAAAGAUUAUAAUUAUGUGCUUAUCUCCAAAAGUUUUCAUAAGACUCGGAGUUGAGCAAUUGAAUGCACAGCGUUGGAAAGUGAGGUAUUUUUGUGUGUUAAAUUUUGCCUAAUUAGACCAUUAUUUCGCUGCAAAAAAAUAAACAACAAUUGUAUUUUGGCCAUGUCGUGAUUUUUGGUUAUUAUGUUAAUAAUUUUGUACGACUUUUAAGGCAUUCAAUUGAAGUAAUUCUGAGCCGUAAACAUAUUUUACUUCUUGGCCUUUGAAUCAAAAUACGACUCGCUCGGACGUUUGUUGAGCGCAAUAGUCGAAAAAGUUUCGUCCCAACUUUGAUUUUUUUUUGACCGGCUGGCCAAGACAACUUCUCGUAAGGAUUCGUUAAAAAAAUACAAAUUCAAGUUGAGCAUUUCUUGAUUUUCAACUGAAAAGAUCAACUAGUGGCUAAAAUUAAUUGUGAAUUGUAUUCUAUCGAACGUGAACGAUACGUGUACAUCCGAAGAGUUUUAAAAACCUUUCACGUCAUGCUUCUUGCGAAAGCAACCGUUCGUAAGCUUUCGCAAGCGUUUUGAGCAAAAACUCUAAAAUAUUGGCAGUAUUAC
Non-coding RNA from Paramuricea clavata, 715 nucleotides. The record is from the annotation of a GenBank genome assembly. NCBI's taxonomy places the organism in Eukaryota, Metazoa, Cnidaria, Anthozoa, Malacalcyonacea, Plexauridae.